GGGUGAGUGGCGGAAUGGUAUACGCGUUAGUCUCAAAAACUAAUGGGGGCAACUCCAUGAGGGUUCGAGUCCCUCCUCACCCACCA
Molecule: transfer RNA, 86 nt
Filed under: Candidatus Levyibacteriota bacterium
Lineage: Bacteria; Candidatus Levyibacteriota
Description: tRNA-Leu
Rfam family: tRNA
About the family: Transfer RNA (tRNA) molecules are approximately 80 nucleotides in length. Their secondary structure includes four short double-helical elements and three loops (D, anti-codon, and T loops).
Source: RNAcentral